CUCAGAGUUAACUCGGGGUUAUCAGGCAAACUCAGGGUUGACAAACUCUGACCGCCGACACUGGAGUUAAACGGUACUACGAAGGUGGAUAAGACGUAGGAUUGGCAAAGUUAACGCUCGUUGUCGCUGGGUGGCUGCCGGUACACGCUGACAUCAGCAGGAACCACAGGAAGAAGCCUCGAGGUUUCAGUAAAGACGGUGUGCAUCGCGGAGGAGGAUGUGGGAGGGGCGGGACGACCUGCAACAGAGGUCAUGACCUGCUGAAACUAGCGAGGAGGGAACGUCUGCCCCGUCCCCUGUGGAAAUGACACCUUUGAUUGUUGCCGAGGCUGAGUCAAAUUAUACCUAUAUCCCAAGAAGACUUGGGCUGGCUGUGUGAGCGCAUGUGUGAACAUGUGUGUAUGUGACGGAGCUGCAUGUGUCAGCAGAGUCGGUGUGAAAAAAACCAAACGCCGCCUUUCGCCGAAGAAGCUGCAAAAACUGCAACUCUGCUUGUUUUUCUUUCUCUUACCUGAACUGAAAGUUGACCCGGUCAUCUGCCUGUUGAGUGAGUUUUGUGACCCGAUCAGACCUGUUAAAAACCCCCACAAGGUCCCAAAGAGAGAGAAGUUUUAGUUUUAGAUUUUCAUCAUAGACUGCAAGAAGAUUCUUUCUUUCUUUCUUUCUUUCUGAGGGGCAAGCUUAGAUUUUAGUUUUUUGGUUAUUGAUCACAUUGUGUUGAUGUAGUUGCUUGUCCUCCAAGAGUCUCUGAAUAUCCCUAAAUAGAACAAUAACCUAAAUGUAUAGUUUCAUACAGUUCCAUAAAAGGCAAAACAAGAAAAGCAGGAUUGUAAGACAAAAAAAUUAAAGAAAAACAACACAGAGAUUCAUCGUGUGCUUUAAAGGACAUUGAAUUAGUACUUAACUUAAGAAGAAAUUAAAUACAGGACCCAAAAUAUGAUGGAUAUUUAAAUUUUAGCAUAUGUUUUGUAUUUCACUAAUAUUUAGAUUGUACUGUAUUUCUUGUGAUGUUCACACUAUGCAAUUU
This is a long non-coding RNA of Micropterus dolomieu (smallmouth bass), 1027 nucleotides long. RefSeq lists it as uncharacterized. Lineage: Eukaryota; Metazoa; Chordata; Actinopteri; Centrarchiformes; Centrarchidae. The transcript is spliced from 5 exons. The record is from RefSeq and is a predicted model, not a curated record.